CUUCACCCUCAGACGACAACCCGAGCGAACUGAUUGCAAGAACGAGAUUUGCUUGCUAGCAAUCUGCUCGAGUGUCGAGGAUUCCUGUCCUGAUAGAAUUCCAAAACGUUACUUCAAGAUGAACAAUUGCAUGGCAACCAUUAUUUCAAUCGCCCUCCUUCUGGGUA
RNAcentral lists this long non-coding RNA (167 nucleotides) under Patiria miniata (bat star). RNAcentral's name for it is "uncharacterized LOC119745022". The record is from RNAcentral. Lineage: Eukaryota; Metazoa; Echinodermata; Asteroidea; Valvatida; Asterinidae.